Molecule: ribosomal RNA, 1012 nt
Filed under: uncultured bacterium
Lineage: Bacteria
Description: bacterial SSU rRNA
Rfam family: Bacterial small subunit ribosomal RNA
Source: RNAcentral
GACGGUACUUGAUGAAUAAGCCACGGCUAAUUCCGUGCCAGCAGCCGCGGUAAUACGGGAGUGGCAAGCGUUAUCCGGAAUUAUUGGGCGUAAAGCGUCCGCAGGCGGCCCAACAAGUCUGCUGUUAAAAAGUGGAGCUUAACUCCAUCAUGGCAGUGGAAACUGUUGGGCUCGAGUGUGGUAGGGGCAGAGGGAAUUCCCGGUGUAGCGGUGAAAUGCGUAGGUAUCGGGAAGAACACCAGUGGCGAAGGCGCUCUGCUGGGCCAUCACUGACGCUCAUGGACGAAAGCCAGGGGAGCGAAAGGGAUUAGAUACCCCUGUAGUCCUGGCCGUAAACGAUGAACACUAGGUGUCGGGGGAAUCGACCCCUCCGGUGUCGUAGCCAACGCGUUAAGUGUUCCGCCUGGGGAGUACGCACGCAAGUGUGAAACUCAAAGGAAUUGACGGGGGCCCGCACAAGCGGUGGAGUAUGUGGUUUAAUUCGAUGCAACGCGAAGAACCUUACCAGGGUUUGACAUCCUGCGAAUCUCUUGGAAACUUGAGAGUGCCUUCGGGAGCGCAGUGACAGGUGGUGCAUGGCUGUCGUCAGCUCGUGUCGUGAGAUGUUGGGUUAAGUCCCGCAACGAGCGCAACCCACGUCUUUAGUUGCCAGCAUUUAGUUGGGCACUCUAGAGAGACCGCCGGUGAUAAACCGGAGGAAGGUGUGGAUGACGUCAAGUCAUCAUGCCCCUUACAUCCUGGGCUACACACGUACUACAAUGCUACGGACAAAGGGCAGCAAGUUCGCGAGGACAAGCAAAUCCCAUAAACCGUGGCUCAGUUCAGAUCGUAGGCUGCAACUCGCCUACGUGAAGGAGGAAUCGCUAGUAAUCGCAGGUCGGCAUACUGCGGUGAAUACGUUCCCGGGCCUUGUACACACCGCCCGUCACACCAUGGAAGUUGGCCACGCCCGAAGCCGUUACUCCAACCCUUGUGGAGGAGGACGUCGAAGGUGGGGCUGAUGACUGGGGUG